UACAGAGGGGGCAAGCGUUGUUCGGAAUUACUGGGCGUAAAGGGCGCGUAGGCGGCCUGCUAAGUCGAACGUGAAAUCCCCGGGCUCAACCCGGGAACUGCGUCCGAUACUGGCAGGCUUGAAUUCGGGAGAGGGAUGCGGAAUUCCAGGUGUAGCGGUGAAAUGCGUAGAUAUCGUGAGGAACACCAGAGGCGAAGGCGGCUACCUGGACAAUUGCUGACGCUCAGGCACGAAAGCGUGGGGAGCAAAAGGG
RNAcentral lists this ribosomal RNA (253 nucleotides) under uncultured bacterium. RNAcentral describes it as "partial 16S ribosomal RNA". It matches the Rfam family "Bacterial small subunit ribosomal RNA", at positions 524 to 776 of the family's 1533-position model. The record is from RNAcentral.